CCUACGGGUGGCAGCAGUGGGGAAUAUUGGGCAAUGGGCGCAAGCCUGACCCAGCAACGCCGCGUGUAGGAAGAAGGCUUUCGGGUUGUAAACUUCUUUUAUCAGGGACGAAGCAAGUGACGGUACCUGAUGAAUAAGCUACCGUUAACUGCGGGCCAGCAGCCGCCGGAAUACGUAGGUGGCAAGCGUUAUCCGGAUUUACGGGGUGUAAAGGGGGUGGAGGGGGGAGGGCAAGUCAGCUGUGAAAACCAUGGGCUAAAAGCCUAGCCUGCAUUUGAAACUGUACUUCUUGAGUGCUGGGGAGGGAAGAGGAAUUUGGGGUGUAGCGGUGAAAUGCGUAGAUAUAAGGAAGAACACCAGUGGCGAAGGCAGAUUGCUGGACAGUAAAUGACGCUGAGGCGCGAAAGCGUGGGGAGCAAACAGGAUUAGAUACCCUUGUAGUC
This 443-nucleotide ribosomal RNA is filed under the name uncultured bacterium. RNAcentral describes it as "partial 16S ribosomal RNA". It matches the Rfam family "Bacterial small subunit ribosomal RNA", at positions 338 to 795 of the family's 1533-position model. The record is from RNAcentral.